RNAcentral lists this ribosomal RNA (252 nucleotides) under uncultured microorganism. RNAcentral's name for it is "partial small subunit ribosomal RNA". It matches the Rfam family "Bacterial small subunit ribosomal RNA", at positions 524 to 776 of the family's 1533-position model. The record is from RNAcentral.
UACGUAGGUGGCGAGCGUUGUCCGGAAUUAUUGGGCGUAAAGAGCGCGUAGGCGGGAAAAGAAGUCCACUUUAAAAGUGCGGGGCUCAGCCCCGUGAGGGGGUGGAAACUCUUUUUCUUGAGUGCCGGAGAGGAAAGCGGAAUUCCCAGUGUAGCGGUGAAAUGCGUAGAUAUUGGGAGGAACACCAGUGGCGAAGGCGGCUUUCUGGACGGUGUCUGACGCUGAGGCGCGAAAGCCAGGGGAGCGAACGGG